RNAcentral lists this transfer RNA (76 nucleotides) under Burkholderiales bacterium. Its description in RNAcentral is "tRNA-Arg". It matches the Rfam family "tRNA". From Rfam's summary of the family: Transfer RNA (tRNA) molecules are approximately 80 nucleotides in length. Their secondary structure includes four short double-helical elements and three loops (D, anti-codon, and T loops). The record is from RNAcentral. Lineage: Bacteria; Pseudomonadati; Pseudomonadota; Betaproteobacteria; Burkholderiales. RNAcentral also lists the same sequence under 2 other names.
GCCCCGGUAGCUCAGUGGAUAGAGCAGUCCCCUCCUAAGGGACAGGUCGGACGUUCGAUUCGUCUUCGGGGCGCCA